UCCGUAGGCGGGUAAUUAAGUCAGUGGUGAAAUCUUCCGGCUCAACCGGGAACCUGCCAUUGAUACUGUUAGUCUUGAGUUCGGUUGAGGUAGGCGGAAUGUGUAAUGUAGCGGUGAAAUGCUUAGAUAUUACACAGAACACCAAUUGCGUAGGCAGCUUACUAGACCGACACUGACGCUGAGGCACGAAAGCGUGGGGAGCGAACAGGAUUAGAUACCCUGGUAGUC
RNAcentral lists this ribosomal RNA (228 nucleotides) under uncultured bacterium. RNAcentral's name for it is "partial 16S ribosomal RNA". It matches the Rfam family "Bacterial small subunit ribosomal RNA", at positions 568 to 795 of the family's 1533-position model. The record is from RNAcentral.